GUCUGAGUGAAGGUAUACUCAGUCUGACCUGCCCGCUGACAAUUUUUGUUGAAGAGCCGCGGUAUCCAUAACCGUGCGAAGGUAGCAUAAUCAAUUGCCUUUUAAUUGAAGGCUGGUAUGAAUGGUUGGAUGAGAAGCUAGCUGUCUCUUUAAUGUAAAUUGAAUUUUACCUUUAAGUGAAAAGGCUUAAAUGUCACGGGGGGACAAUAAUACCCUAUAAAGCUUUACAACUACUUUACUUGCUCUUGAAUUGAGGUGUAAGGGGAGCAAGGAUUGAGUGUUGUUGCGUUGGGGCGACAAAAAUAUAAUUUAGUAACUGUUCUUGGAAUAAAAUGGUUGUGCUCAGCUGAAAUGACCCUCUAUUAGGGAUUAUAAGAUUAAGUUACUUUAGGGAUAACAGUGUUAUUUCCUUUGAGAGUUCAUAUUGACAAGGUAAGUUGCGACCUCGAUGUUGAAUUAAGGUUUCGUUCUGGUGUAGGAGCUUGAAUUGUGGGUCUGUUCGACCUUUAAAACCUU
This 516-nucleotide ribosomal RNA is filed under the name Parhippolyte sterreri. RNAcentral describes it as "partial large subunit ribosomal RNA". It matches the Rfam family "Bacterial large subunit ribosomal RNA", at positions 1831 to 2597 of the family's 2925-position model. The record is from RNAcentral. Lineage: Eukaryota; Metazoa; Arthropoda; Malacostraca; Decapoda; Barbouriidae.